GUCGGCUCCUAAGGCGAGGCCGAAAGGCGUAGUCGAUGGGAAUGCAGUUAAUAUUCUGCAGCCUGGUGGUAGUGACGGAUCUCGUAAAUUGUACAUCCUUAUUGGAUUGGUUGUGCAGUGAAGAGGUUCCAGGAAAUAGCUCCACCGUAUAGACCGUACCCCAAACCGACACAGGUGGUCAGGUAGAGAAUACUAAGGCGCUUGAGAGAACUAUGUUGAAGGAACUCGGCAAAUUGCACGCGUAACUUCGGAAGAAGCGUGACCUGUAUUUACGCAAGUAGAUAUAGGUGGCACAGACCAGGGGGUAGCGACUGUUUAUCAAAAACACAGGGCUCUGCGAAGUCGCAAGACGACGUAUAGGGUCUGACGCCUGCCCGGUGCCGGAAGGUUAAGAGGAGAGGUGAGAGCUUUGAAUCGAAGCCCCGGUAAACGGCGGCCG
RNAcentral lists this ribosomal RNA (439 nucleotides) under Chloroparvula japonica. RNAcentral's name for it is "partial Bacterial large subunit ribosomal RNA". It matches the Rfam family "Bacterial large subunit ribosomal RNA", at positions 1383 to 1936 of the family's 2925-position model. Lineage: Eukaryota; Viridiplantae; Chlorophyta; Chloropicophyceae; Chloropicales; Chloropicaceae. The record is from RNAcentral.